CAGCCGCCACGGUAAUACGUAGGUGGCAAGCGUUAUCCGGAAUUAUUGGGCGUAAAGCGCGCGUAGGCGGUUUUUUAAGUCUGAUGUGAAAGCCCACGGCUCAACCGUGGAGGGUCAUUGGAAACUGGAAAACUUGAGUGCAGAAGAGGAAAGUGGAAUUCCAUGUGUAGCGGUGAAAUGCGCAGAGAUAUGGAGGAACACCAGUGGCGAAGGCGACUUUCUGGUCUGUAACUGACGCUGAUGUGCGAAAGCGUGGGGAUCAAACAGGAUUAGAUACCCCGGUAGUCCCUGUCUCUUAUAC
Molecule: ribosomal RNA, 301 nt
Filed under: uncultured bacterium
Lineage: Bacteria
Description: partial 16S ribosomal RNA
Rfam family: Bacterial small subunit ribosomal RNA
Source: RNAcentral